Non-coding RNA from Phrynosoma platyrhinos (Desert horned lizard), 74 nucleotides. The record is from the annotation of a GenBank genome assembly. Lineage: Eukaryota; Metazoa; Chordata; Lepidosauria; Squamata; Phrynosomatidae.
UUAUGCAUAGCGUAGUGGUUUGAGUGCUAGACUACAACUCUGGAGAUCAGGGUUCAGUUCCCAGCUUGGCCAAG